RNAcentral lists this ribosomal RNA (521 nucleotides) under Asaia sp. RNAcentral's name for it is "bacterial SSU rRNA". It matches the Rfam family "Bacterial small subunit ribosomal RNA", at positions 93 to 647 of the family's 1533-position model. The record is from RNAcentral. Lineage: Bacteria; Pseudomonadati; Pseudomonadota; Alphaproteobacteria; Acetobacterales; Acetobacteraceae.
GAGUGGCGGACGGGUGAGUAUCGCGUAGGGAUCUAUCCAUGGGUGGGGGAUAACAUCGGGAAACUGGUGCUAAUACCGCAUGAUACCUGAGGGUCAAAGGCGCAAGUCGCCUGUGGAGGAGCCUGCGUUCGAUUAGCUUGUUGGUGGGGUAAAGGCCUACCAAGGCGAUGAUCGAUAGCUGGUCUGAGAGGAUGAUCAGCCACACUGGGACUGAGACACGGCCCAGACUCCUACGGGAGGCAGCAGUGGGGAAUAUUGGACAAUGGGCGAAAGCCUGAUCCAGCAAUGCCGCGUGUGUGAAGAAGGUCUUCGGAUUGUAAAGCACUUUCGACGGGGACGAUGAUGACGGUACCCGUAGAAGAAGCCCCGGCUAACUUCGUGCCAGCAGCCGCGGUAAUACGAAGGGGGCUAGCGUUGCUCGGAAUGACUGGGCGUAAAGGGCGCGUAGGCGGUUUACACAGUCAGAUGUGAAAUUCCAGGGCUUAACCUUGGGGCUGCAUUUGAUACGUGUAGACUAGAGU